CGUAGGGUGCGAGCGUUAAUCGGAAUUACUGGGCGUAAAGCGUGCGCAGGCGGUUUUGUAAGACAGGCGUGAAAUCCCCGGGCUCAACCUGGGAACUGCGCUUGUGACUGCAAGGCUAGAGUACGGCAGAGGAGGGUGGAAUUCCACGUGUAGCAGUGAAAUGCGUAGAUAUGUGGAGGAACACCGAUGGCGAAGGCAGCCCCCUGGGUUAACACUGACGCUCAUGCACGAAAGCGUGGGGAGCAAACAGGAUUAGAUACCCUGGUAGUCCACGCCCUAAACGAUGUCAACUGGUUGUCGGGGGAUGAAUUCCCUUGGUAACGAAGCUAACGCGUGAAGUUGACCGCCUGGGGAGUACGGCCGCAAGGUUA
Molecule: ribosomal RNA, 371 nt
Filed under: uncultured organism
Description: bacterial SSU rRNA
Rfam family: Bacterial small subunit ribosomal RNA
Source: RNAcentral